Molecule: ribosomal RNA, 456 nt
Filed under: uncultured bacterium
Lineage: Bacteria
Description: bacterial SSU rRNA
Rfam family: Bacterial small subunit ribosomal RNA
Source: RNAcentral
GAUGAACGCUGGCGGUAUGCCUAACACAUGCAAGUCGUACGAGAGUUUUUAACUCUAGUGGCGGACGGGUGAGUAACACGUGAGAAUUUGCCUUUAGGAGGGGAUAACAAUUGGAAACGAAUGCUAAUACCCCAUAUGCUUUUGAGUGAAAUGGAUUUUAUCCGCCUAGAGAGAAGCUCGCGGCUGAUUAGCUUGUUGGUAAGGUAAGAGCUUACCAAGGCGACGAUCAGUAUCNGGUUUGAGAGGACGAUCAGACACACUGGAACUGAGACACGGACCAGACUCCUACGGGAGGCAGCAGUGAGGAAUAUUGGUCAAUGGGCGCAAGCCUGAACCAGCCAUGCCGCGUGCAGGAAGAAUGCCCUAUGGGUUGUAAACUGCUUUUAUUUGGGAAUAAACCUCUUUACGUGUAGAGAGCUGAAGGUACCAAAUGAAUAAGCACCGGCUAACUCCGUG